RNAcentral lists this ribosomal RNA (743 nucleotides) under uncultured Lachnospiraceae bacterium. Its description in RNAcentral is "bacterial SSU rRNA". It matches the Rfam family "Bacterial small subunit ribosomal RNA", at positions 30 to 776 of the family's 1533-position model. The record is from RNAcentral. Lineage: Bacteria; Bacillati; Bacillota; Clostridia; Lachnospirales; Lachnospiraceae.
UGAACGCUGGCGGCGUGCUACACAUGCAAGUCGAACGGGAAACUUUUCAUUGAAGCUUCGGCAGAUUUGGUCUGUUUCUAGUGGCGGACGGGUGAGUAACGCGUGGGUAACCUACCCUGUACAGGGGGAUAACAGUCAGAAAUGACUGCUAAUACCGCAUAAGACCACAGGACCGCAUGGUCCGGUGUGAAAAACUCCGGUGGUAUAAGAUGGACCCGCGUUGGAUUAGCUAGUUGGCAGGGUAACGGCCUACCAAGGCGACGAUCCAUAGCCGGCCUGAGAGGGUGAACGGCCACAUUGGGACUGAGACACGGCCCAGACUCCUACGGGAGGCAGCAGUGGGGAAUAUUGCACAAUGGGGGAAACCCUGAUGCAGCGACGCCGCGUGAAGGAAGAAGUAUCUCGGUAUGUAAACUUCUAUCAGCAGGGAAGAUAGUGACGGUACCUGACUAAGAAGCCCCGGCUAACUACGUGCCAGCAGCCGCGGUAAUACGUAGGGGGCAAGCGUUAUCCGGAUUUACUGGGUGUAAAGGGAGCGUAGACGGACUGGCAAGUCUGAUGUGAAAGGCGGGGGCUCAACCCCUGGACUGCAUUGGAAACUGUUAGUCUUGAGUGCCGGAGAGGUAAGCGGAAUUCCUAGUGUAGCGGUGAAAUGCGUAGAUAUUAGGAGGAACACCAGUGGCGAAGGCGGCUUACUGGACGGUAACUGACGUUGAGGCUCGAAAGCGUGGGGAGCAAACAGG